CCCCGCAACAACUGUGGAUGAUGGGGCUCCUCCUGAAUCCUGUUGAUGCUCCAGACCUGACAGAGGAAAUUGAGGAUGCAGAUCUUCAUUUCAACACUGCCAGCGAGCAAGAUGUGAGCAGUCCUGGAGUGAUUCUUCCGCCCAUUGAAUGUCCUCUCUCUGAGCAGGACAUGACAGGCUUAAGGAACACUAUUGAUGUUACAGGACCAUCAGAUUCCUAUGGGCGAGACAUUUAUUUGGCUGUAUUGAACUACGUGCUAAAUCAUGUACCGUAGAUGCAGGAAUUUUGUUUCAAAAACCAGCUUAACACUAAUGUGUUACACAAAGUGUACAUUGAACUUGUUUUAAAUGUUUAUUGUUACUGACAGCAGUGAAGCUACAUGGUACAAACAUUCUUUAACUGCUUCUCAGAGUGCUGGGCUGCAACUUGUGAGUGAGACAACAUGAUGCCAAUUAGCCAGACAUCUAGAUGAGAUGUAAACUAAUUACUUUUAUGAAAUCUUGUUGCAAGAUUACCUUCUUAACCUUAACAUGUUUGCAUGAAAUGCUCAACAGUACUGCUAUUAAACAAUAAUUUAAUGUUUA
This is a long non-coding RNA of Micropterus dolomieu (smallmouth bass), 585 nucleotides long. RefSeq lists it as uncharacterized. Lineage: Eukaryota; Metazoa; Chordata; Actinopteri; Centrarchiformes; Centrarchidae. The transcript is spliced from 2 exons. The record is from RefSeq and is a predicted model, not a curated record.